GGAUUAGAUACCCUGGUAGUCCACGCUGUAAACGAUGAGUGCUAGGCGGCGGGAGAGUUUGACCCUUUCGUUGUCGAAGCUAACGCGUUAAGCACUCCGCCUGGGGAGUACGGCCGCAAGGCUAAAACUCAAAGGAAUUGACGGGGGCCCGCACAAGCGGUGGAGCAUGUGGUUUAAUUCGACACAACGCGCAGAACCUUACCUGGGUUAAAUCCACGAGAAUCUAGCAGAGAGGCUGGAGUGCCCUUCGGGGAAUUCGUGCGAAGGUGCUGCAUGGCUGUCGUCAGCUCGUGCCGC
Molecule: ribosomal RNA, 297 nt
Filed under: uncultured bacterium
Lineage: Bacteria
Description: partial 16S ribosomal RNA
Rfam family: Bacterial small subunit ribosomal RNA
Source: RNAcentral